GUCCACACCGUAAACGUUGGGCGCUAGGUGUGGGACUCAUUCCACGAGUUCCGUGCCGCAGCUAACGCAUUAAGCGCCCCGCCUGGGGAGUACGGCCGCAAGGCUAAAACUCAAAGGAAUUGACGGGGGCCCGCACAAGCGGCGGAGCAUGCGGAUUAAUUCGAUGCAACGCGAAGAACCUUACCUAGGUUUGACAUAUACGAGAACUCUCUAGAGAUAGAGAGCUCUUUGGACACUCGUAUACAGGUGGUGCAUGGCUGUCGU
Molecule: ribosomal RNA, 264 nt
Filed under: uncultured bacterium
Lineage: Bacteria
Description: partial 16S ribosomal RNA
Rfam family: Bacterial small subunit ribosomal RNA
Source: RNAcentral